UACGUAGGGGGCGAGCGUUGUCCGGAGUUACUGGGCGUAAAGCGCGCGCAGGCGGCGGUGCUGGCCCGGCGUGAAAGCCCCCGGCUCAACCGGGGAGGGUCGUCGGGGACCGCACCGCUUGAGGGCGGUAGGGGCUGGUGGAAUGCCUGGUGUAGUGGUGAAAUGCGUAGAGAUCAGGCGGAACACCCGUGGCGAAGGCGGCCAGCUGGGCCGUCCCUGACGCUGAGGCGCGAAGGCGUGGGGAGCGAACGGG
Molecule: ribosomal RNA, 253 nt
Filed under: uncultured bacterium
Lineage: Bacteria
Description: partial 16S ribosomal RNA
Rfam family: Bacterial small subunit ribosomal RNA
Source: RNAcentral